AGUGAACGCUGGCGGUAGGCUUAACACAUGCAAGUCGAACGGCGGCACCGUAAGAGCUUGCUCUUACGGGUGGCGCGCGUCGGACGAGUGAGGAAUACUCCGGAAUCUACUUUUUAGUGGGGAAUAAAGAAGGGCAACUUACGCUAAUACCGCAUAGGACCUACGGGUGAAAGCAGGGGAUCUUCGGACCUUACGUGAUUGACUGAGCCGAUGUCGGAUUAGCAAGUUGGCGGGGUAAAGGCCCACCAGGGCGACGAACCGUAGCUGGUCUGAGAGGAUGAUCAGCCAGACUGUAACUGAGACACGGUCCACAGUCCUACAGGAGCGAGCAGUGGGGAAUAUUGGACAAGGGGCGCAAGCCUGAUCCAGCCAGACCGCGUGGGUGAAGAAGGCCUUCGGGUUGUAAAGCCCUGUUGUUGGGAAAGAAAAGCAUCAGGUUAAUACCCCGCUGUUCUGACGGUACCCGAAGAAUAAGCACCGGCUAACUUCGUG
Molecule: ribosomal RNA, 492 nt
Filed under: uncultured bacterium
Lineage: Bacteria
Description: partial 16S ribosomal RNA
Rfam family: Bacterial small subunit ribosomal RNA
Source: RNAcentral